UUUUUUUUUUUUGAAACUGCUAGAAUGUAAUUCAGGAAAAAAAUAGGUUGAUUGAAUACAUCUGCAAGGACCCUGUGGCUUUGGAAGCAGGAGAAGCCCACCCUGGUCACUUUCAGUUUAUUAUAUAUCCUGAUCCCUCUUCGGCACGUGUCUUUCUUCAGGUCAGUUUUCUGUUUCUUCUAUAUAGUUUUGGAAGAUGCCUAAAGAAUAAUGCCUUGGAAAAGACCACAAGUUGACAUCAUUAUUGAAAGGUAUAUGGGUGUACUUUGGUCAAGAGUUAGGCUGCCGCGGACAUCCAGGCCUGCCUGAGUCAGUUGGAUUGUUGCGCAGGUGCACACCUCCACUUGUUCUAUAACCUGUUUGUGUAAGCUCCUUCUUGGCUCAGAAUUUACUUACUAUGGUCUGUAAAAGGUAUAACUGCCCUGCUGACACUGUACGGGCACUCUUGGGCUCAGCUUGACGUGGCUUGGGGGUGCACUGGUGCCCAGAGAAAGAGAACCAGAGCUGUCUGUCUUGCAGAUGGACAAACGGGAGCCAGGGCACGGCACCGCUCACCACUCGACAUGGCUUGUGCUGGUGGCCAGAGGGAAAGAGUUAAGCUGUUGACCCUGAAGGCAAGGGGACAGCCUGCUGUGCAGCUGUGUGUGGGAGCAGCCGAGCUGCAAAGCCGGCUGCGGAGAGGAGCUGCAGAGCCGGAGCAGACAGCCGAGAUAAAGGUGGACGGUGCAAUAGAGCUGCCAAUGAGAGAGCUGUUGAAUAAAACUACAUUUCACCUGCUUAGAGCCCCCCGAGUGUUCUUUCAGCUAUUCGCCCAUCCAUCCACUGCCCUCGGACCUCAGUGUGGGCCCGAACCUGACCCUGGACCUGACAAUUGGCGUAGUUGUGGACCUAACAACUAUCUUGAUGCCAUCUGCCAGGACCUGAGAAGCGUCUGGGCCCCUUAGUGGGGCAAGCAUUGCAGGCUGUAAUCCUCAUCUAGCACCCCUUGGCCAAACUCUAAGAGUGUAGGAAACGACUGAUAGUAGUCUGAAUGGGUAGAAUCCUGUCUGUAGCAACUUAGCUUUCUGUGUUCCAAGGAGGUUUUCUCUGAACCCUCCCUCUACCCCAAAGACAAAGCUCUCACACCAGCAUGGGAUCAGAACUGGUUACCAGUCUGGGGUUUACAGCUGAUCUUGAAUCCUGAUUCUCAGCCUAUGCUUAAUUUUCUGUGGUGACAAUUAAAGCUCAUUAAAAAGCUGACACAUUGUUUCCACUUGUCUCUGUGAUUUAAUUAAAAGUCUUAAGGAAGGAGGAGCAGAAACCGUAUUAGUCACAGAAAAAAAAAGUCUGGGGCCUCCCUUUUUAUCUCAUGAAGUUAUUUAUAAUUUGAGAGUUAUUCAGCGACUUCCACGAAGAGCCCCUUCUGUUGAAAUGUUAAAAGAAGAUGAAGUUAAACCUAAUCAGUAUGUUGUCCUUCAUCCAGAGGAAAUAUUGACGAGCUAAAAUAGAAUCACUGACAGCCACCUGCCUUCUUGUAAAUUCAUCUUAGAAUUUAAACUGAAGGAGAAAUGACGGAUAAUGAAGAACAAGUUUUUUCAAUGCAGAAAAAGUUGACUGGAGACUUUAUGCUUCAGCCUGAUAAAUAUAAUUUCAAUCUUCUUUUCACCCAAAUUAAAAUAUCUAAGUAACUCGGGCUGUUGCUUUUCUAGUGUGGUGCAUACAACUGUAUUGAUUUAAACAGUAAUAAGUACUCAACUUGCUAUUUAACCUGAUUGUCAUAGUUCCUGGUAGGCAUAUCUUCCAGGGAAUUAGAAGAAAUAGUUCUGGAGGUGAGGUUUGGGUCUUUAUGUCCCACCUAUUUUGGGAUGGUGCCCAAAAACGCACCAAGAGCCCAACUGAAAAAUAAUGACAUACUAGCUUGCUAUUGGAAGGUAAUUUUUAAAAUAACGCAGUUUUGAAAAAUUAAGAAUCAAGGUAAAUCCUUGGCUAAGUCUUUAUAACUAAUAAAUUUUUGAAAGACUGUAUACUCCUGAGAAGUACUAGAUGUAUUUAACUGCUUGAAAAUAUUAAUUAGCUCGUUGCUAUAGGAAACACCCUGUUCCAUUGAAGGCCAUGGGUCAGCAACAAAUAGCAAUGGGGCCAGACCAGAUUGGUGACCUGUUUAACCAGUGGUUCUCAAUAUCUGAAGGUGCUCAACCUUUCAUCUCUAUUAGACUCACCCAAAGGACUUUGACGACUAAUGGCCGGGCGCC
Long non-coding RNA from Macaca fascicularis (crab-eating macaque), 2231 nucleotides. Lineage: Eukaryota; Metazoa; Chordata; Mammalia; Primates; Cercopithecidae. The record is from Ensembl.